This 99-nucleotide small nucleolar RNA is filed under the name Leptobrachium leishanense (Leishan spiny toad). Its description in RNAcentral is "Small nucleolar RNA SNORD14 (ENSLLEG00000008210.1)". It matches the Rfam family "Small nucleolar RNA SNORD14". From Rfam's summary of the family: U14 small nucleolar RNA (U14 snoRNA) is required for early cleavages of eukaryotic precursor rRNAs. In yeasts, this molecule possess a stem-loop region (known as the Y-domain) which is essential for function. A similar structure, but with a different consensus sequence, is found in plants, but is absent in vertebrates. The record is from Rfam by way of RNAcentral. Lineage: Eukaryota; Metazoa; Chordata; Amphibia; Anura; Megophryidae.
UCGCAAUGAUGAAUGAUUACUAAGCCAUUCGUAGUUUCCACCAGACCCGAGCUGCAAGGCUCAUGAUGGUUCUACUACCUUCCUUGGAUGUCUGAGCGA